RNAcentral lists this long non-coding RNA (561 nucleotides) under Ceratitis capitata (Mediterranean fruit fly). Its description in RNAcentral is "uncharacterized LOC101448382, transcript variant X1". The record is from RNAcentral. Lineage: Eukaryota; Metazoa; Arthropoda; Insecta; Diptera; Tephritidae.
UUUUUGUGUGCGGUUUGUGUGGUACGUGAAAAAUUUUUCCGUUUCGUGUUGGUGGAUAGCGGAAAAAAGAAAAUCUGUUAAAUUAGUGAAUUAGUAGAAAAUGGAAUAAAUAAAACAAUUUUUUUAAGUGAAAAGUGCAACAUUUUUGCGUUUCAAAAUGUACUCUAAAUGGUUGAACAAAUUUAAUUGAUACUGAUAAAUUUUUUUAUAUACACACGUUUCUGUAAGCGAGGACAAUUCAGUACCGUGAAUUUUAGAUUUAUCAACAAACUGUCAACAAAAAGAUUUUCAAUAUCACCAGCGUCAACACAAAAUAUAGCAAAAUUACAAAGAAUUCGAACCAAACCUUAGGGUCAAGGGGCAACGCCGCAUAUAAGCAAUGAGUAUACCAUCAAAGGAAACCAAACAAUACAUAAACAAAAGAACAGCGAAGAAGAACAACAACACAUGACUGCAACAAAAUCGAAAUUUCCAACAACGACGACGACGAGGACGAGAACGCGAAUGCGAACGAGUACGACGACAUAAAGGUCACCGAAGCCGUCAAAAACAACAAAUCAA